Momordica charantia (bitter melon) is the source of this 1915-nucleotide long non-coding RNA. RefSeq lists it as uncharacterized. The record is from RefSeq and is a predicted model, not a curated record. NCBI's taxonomy places the organism in Eukaryota, Viridiplantae, Streptophyta, Magnoliopsida, Cucurbitales, Cucurbitaceae.
UUCACGAAAACUUUUCUAACGGUACAAUUCGUGGCUCUCUUCUGGUUAUAGUUUCUUCUUGAGAAUUUCUUCGCUCUCUUCCCACUCCCGAGCCACUUCCGACUUCGAUUUAAGUUUUCGAUUCGAAAUCUUCAGAGUUCACUGAUUUUAAACAAUCGGGGGUUCAAUGUCGCCGCCGUCUGAUCUUGAUUCUUUAGGACUUCCUCAUUCCCACGAUAUUCGAACGCCAAGGAAACCGUCUGGUAAAACUGGUUAAAUCUGUGGAAUUGAACACCGUUUUUCCGCCGUUUUGCUUCCAAUCCUCGUCGGUCGGAUCGGAAAUUGCCGACGAAAGUGUGUUCUCGGAUCCAGUGAUGGAGCCCGAUCUCGUGUGCGACGGUGGUUGYCUAUGGUGGCUGUGUCGCCGGCGGUGUCGAAGACUGAGCAUUUUAUGGCUGCAGCGAAGGAAUCUUUGGGUUUAGAAAUCGGAUUUGAUGGAGAUGAUUUCGGCCGCAACUUCAGUGACCAAUUCGCGGAUUUGGAACGGGGAUUGGGAUAUCAUAUCAAGGCCGUGUGGGGACCAUAAAGGAAUAAGGUGGCGAGAUUACAAGCUUCGAGAGAUGCUUUAUGCACUACUUGAUUGAGGAACAUAGAUGAUUAAGAAGGGAUUCUCCUACCGACAGCUUCAUUCAAGGGAGUUUGUGGAACAUGUUGCCAGCAACUAUAAAAACUCAAAUCCACUGUACAAUGGGUUUCUCUCUCAGGGAGUUUGUGGAACAUGUUGCCAGCAACUAUACAAACUCAAAUCCACUGUACAAUGGGUUUCUCUCUCAGGUGGUUGAGAAGGGACUUUGAACCUCUCCACUGAUGAGUAUUGGUUGAGAAGUAAUGUUGUUUUGAGCUGAUGCUUAUGUUUUGAUGGAAAAUAAUUGCAAGUUUUUUGAACGUAAUUUUUACAUGUAUUUGCUCACCUAAAACUUGAGGAAUUUCAAGGAUGGGGUUGUUGCUCAAGAUAGCUUCUGCUGAUGUGCCUCAUCAUUUAAACUCGUCGAUCAUCUAGUAAUGUUUUCUUGAUACACUUAACUACUUGUAUUUUCUAUGAUAGUUAUGAAGAUUGUGUUUGCUUUAAGUUUGAUUGCUUUGUUUUCAUAUAAGUGACAUUGUUGUUGUUGUCUUCAACUGUUUGACACUUGAAAUAGGUUUUUCUCGUGUGCAGAUAAUUGAUCGCCUGGUAAUGUUUUCUUGACAUACUUUACUUGUAUUUCACAAUGCAUUAAUUCUCAUUUAUUGACAUUUUUACAAUGCUCAUUUGCUCACCUAGGAAUUGAGGAAUUUCUAGGAUAGGAUUGUUGUCUUCAGCUAUUGACACUCAAGAUAGCUUCUACUAAUAUGCCUCAUCAUUUGAACUAGCCGAUUUUCUGGUAAUGUUUUAUUGAUAUACUUGAUUCUUUGUAUUGGUAGGUUGUGAAAUUGUGUAUGCUUUAAGUUUGAUUGCUUUGUUCUCAUGUAAGUAACAAUUGUUGUGUUUCAGCUUUUAAAAUAGCUUUUGCAUAUGCUUCAUCAAUUGAACCAAUUGAUCAUCUGGUAAUGUUUUCUUGGAAUACUUGACUCGUACUUCAAAAUGCAUUAAUCCUUACAUUUAUGGCAUUUUCAUUAUGUUCAUUUGUCGACCUAGGAGUCGAGGAAUUUAUAGGAUAGGUUUUGAGAUUGUACUUGCUUGAAGGUUGAUUGUCUACUACACUUUGGUCUUAUGUAAUAGGGCCAUUAACACUCAAGAUAGUUCUUGCUUAUAUGUCUCAUUAUUUGAAUUGUUUGUUCGUCUGGUAAUGUUUUGUUGAAAUAUUCGAUUACUUGUAUUUCACGAUGCUCAUUCUUUGACCUAGUGACUGAUGAGGAUGAUUUUGUUAGGUUGUGUUCGCAAGUUUAUUGUCUACUA